RNAcentral lists this small RNA (2188 nucleotides) under Histoplasma capsulatum var. duboisii H88. RNAcentral describes it as "Histoplasma capsulatum H88 hypothetical RNA". The record is from RNAcentral. Lineage: Eukaryota; Fungi; Ascomycota; Eurotiomycetes; Onygenales; Ajellomycetaceae.
CCCCUCAAUGCCUCCCUGCCACCGUGGUAACCGGACCAGUGUAGGUCUUCCGACCUUGCACAUAGUACAUUACCAGACUAAUAGCAACCACCCCGCUGAAUAUGACUAUGCUCCAAUUGAAAUUGUCCACAGUGACAUGUCGAUCUCCAGGCCAGAAUGACCAGAACAGGGCGAACAGAACAUAUGCAAGACCAAGACCAUUAACAAUCGGACCAAUUACGGGUCCCAAGCUCCAGCGCGCAUCAGGCAGCAGCUCGGGGCGUGUGAGACGGAGGCAGAGCACACAGCUAAUUGAGACAGCGUAUGUCGCCAUGAGCGCAGCAACAUUGAGUGAUAUAAUGGCGUGGAAUGCGGCGCUUGAUCCCAGAUUGAUGAGCGAAAGAAGUACGCUGAUCAGACAGGAGACAAAUAUGGCGUUGGCCGGGAUGUGUUUCGUUGGAUGGACGUCAGAUAGCCAGCGGGAAAACGGCAGGCCUUUGUCGCGAGCGAAAGAGAACGUUUGCCGGGAUGUGGAAGCAUUAAAUGAGACAUUGCUUGCAAUUACUAAUACAAGGAUGACAAUGGAUUCCAUUCGCGACGUAUCCCCAAGCAAUCGCGUUCGGUACAUUCCUCCCAGCGUCCUUGACUUCUUCAGCCAUGUGUGCGGUUGCAUCAACGCCUUUGCAGUGAAAUCAUGUUAGCUCAAUUUCUCCAGAGAUUGUACACCUGCAAAUGGGGAGAAGACAUAGGGACAACACACUCAGGCCACCGUAGAUGGCUGAAAUCUGCCCGACCAUGACGCUGACUCCUAUACUUGGCCAGCUUCCACCAUUUCGAAAUUCCGUAAAUACCGCCCUAGCAGAUUGAUGGGGAGCCAUGACCCAUAACACGACCACGACCGCAAGGAAGCCGAAGAUAUGGACAACAAGAAGCAUAUUCUGGAUCAUGGGCAGGCCUUGAGCCACCCAUAUGUUGAAGAAAAAUAUCAGAGCCACCAUUGCAAAGACAAGCCUUCAAUGAUGUUCCCCGUGAGAAACGAUCCAGAUGCUGCACCAGCUUGCCAUGCUAGUACCGACAACCAUCCUGCCAAUCAAAAUAAAUUAGCAUCAAUUACGUUACCAUUAUGGCGGAGUUCAUCACUCUCCUCACUAACCAGUGACAUAACUCAGGAACUUUUGAUGUUUCUCUGAUGCAAAUUCAGACACCCAAUGGUAUUGUCCCCCAGAAAUUGGCGCCCUGUAGGACGGAUAGAAAAAUGAAUAUUAGCAGCUCCCUCUCGUUAGACAGAAAAACACAACCCACACACUGGCAUAUUUGGAGAAUUACAUAGAGGCCAUUUCCGCAAGCGAGAAGAUCACGAAACCAAAACCAACGAAUGUCCAGAUAUAUGACCAAAAUAGUCCGGCGAGGCCACCAUUCGUAAGCCCUUCAGUGUUAGAUCUUGCAAAAUUCCAAUUGAUAUUAGCCCCAAUCCAUGAGUUUGGUUCCCGGCAUACAACUACCGGAAUACAUAUAUAUAUAUAUAUAUAUAUAUAUAUAUACAUAUGUAUUUGGUUGGCUCACAUCAACAUGAACUCCCAGGUCGCUUGCAGGAUAAGGGCAAAGCUCAGGGCGGAAAGCGGACGAUAGUUCCUCUGCCUCCCAUCAGUCAGUCAAGCACACCGAUAUCGAAUCGAAACUUCCCGCGGGGAACAGACGAUUAACUCCUGUCGUUUGCCCAUACGGUUCAUAUCCCUUUGGUCAUUUUUAGUAUGGCCCCGCCGCAUUGCAUCGUCCCCCACGCCAUCGUCGAGACAGUCCUCGAUGUCAUCCAUGUUAUAAUGGUCUGAGAAUUCGUGCAAAGAUUCCUGGGAAGAACCUUUCGCUGAGAUUUGGUGAGCGGUGCCAUCUGUGGUGGCAGCCAUCGUUGUUGACUGAUCGAGCAAGGCGUAAGUAGGCUGUUUCCGAUACCACAUAUGUAGAUCAUGUAUGUAUGUACAAUAGAUCACGCUCCAGGGCGAUUGCCUCGAGGGACAGGAGGAAUACAGUGAACGAGGUCAGAAAAGUGAAGAACACAGAGUACAGGGCCAGUGCAGGGAAAUGUGUUGUGCGAGUUGUAUGCACGACACGCGACUGCUCCAGUCAUGAGAAAGGGUGUAUGUGAGAAACGAAACCAGGAAUGGAGAGAGCAAUGAAAAAUAUAGUACACCAAAUGAGAAAAAAUUCCCAG